ACGUCAAGUCCGCAUGGCCCUUAUGGGCUGGGCCACACACGUGCUACAAUGGCAAUGACAAUGGGAAGCAAGGCUGUAAGGCGGAGCGAAUCCGGAAAGAUUGCCUCAGUUCGGAUUGUUCUCUGCAACUCGGGAACAUGAAGUUGAAAUCGCUAGUAAUCGCGGAUCAGCAUGCCGCGGUGAAUAUGUACCCGGGCCCU
RNAcentral lists this ribosomal RNA (200 nucleotides) under uncultured organism. RNAcentral describes it as "partial small subunit ribosomal RNA". It matches the Rfam family "Bacterial small subunit ribosomal RNA", at positions 1182 to 1382 of the family's 1533-position model. The record is from RNAcentral.